GCCGGGCGUCGUGGUGCGCCCUUGUAAUCCCAGCUGUUUUGGAGGCUGAGGCAGGAGGAUUGCGAGUUCAAAGCCAGCCUCAGCAAUUUAGGGAGGCGCCAAUUAACUCAGUGAGACCCUGUCUCUA
This 127-nucleotide small RNA is filed under the name Marmota monax (woodchuck). The record is from RNAcentral. Lineage: Eukaryota; Metazoa; Chordata; Mammalia; Rodentia; Sciuridae.